GACGAACGCUGGCGGCGUGCUUAACACAUGCAAGUCGAACGGAAAGGCCCUGCUUUUGUGGGGUGCUCGAGUGGCGAACGGGUGAGUAACACGUGAGUAACCUGCCCUUGACUUUGGGAUAACUUCAGGAAACUGGGGCUAAUACCGGAUAGGAGCUCCUGCUGAAUGGUGGGGGUUGGAAAGUUUCGGCGGUUGGGGAUGGACUCGCGGCUUAUCAGCUUGUUGGUGGGGUAGUGGCUUACCAAGGCUUUGACGGGUAGCCGGCCUGAGAGGGUGACCGGCCACAUUGGUACUGAGUUACGGCCCAGACUCCUACGGGAGGCAGCAGUGGGGACUAUUGCACAAUGGGCGGAGGCCUGAUGCAGCAACGCCGCGUGCGGGAUGACGGCCUUCGGGUUGUAACCCGCUUUCGCCUGUGACGAAGCGUGAGUGACGGUAAUGGGUAAAGAAGCACCGGCUAACUACGUG
RNAcentral lists this ribosomal RNA (468 nucleotides) under uncultured bacterium. RNAcentral describes it as "partial 16S ribosomal RNA". It matches the Rfam family "Bacterial small subunit ribosomal RNA", at positions 28 to 507 of the family's 1533-position model. The record is from RNAcentral.